GACGAACGCUGGCGGCGUGCUUAACACAUGCAAGUCGAACGGUAAGGCCUUUCUGGGUACACGAGCGGCGAACGAGUGAGUGAGACGUAGGUGAGCGACCCUGCACUUCGGGAUAAGCCUGGCUAACUGAGUCUAAUACCUGAUAUGACCUCCUAUCGCAUGGUGGGUGGGGGAGAGAUUUAUCGGUGCAGGAUGGGCCCGCGGCCGAUCAGCUUGUUGGUGGGGUAAUGGCCUACCAAGGCGACGACGGGGAGCCGACCUGAGAGGGUGACCGGCAACAUUGGGACUGAGACACGGCCCAGACUCCUACGGGAGGCAGCAGUGGGGAAUAUUGCACAAUGGGCGAAAGCCUGAUGCAGCGACGCCGCGUGAGGGAUGACGGCCUUCGGGUUGUAAACCUCUUUCCGCAGGGACGAAGCGUAAGUGACGGUACCUGGAGAAGAAGCACCGGCUAACUACGUG
RNAcentral lists this ribosomal RNA (462 nucleotides) under uncultured bacterium. Its description in RNAcentral is "partial 16S ribosomal RNA". It matches the Rfam family "Bacterial small subunit ribosomal RNA", at positions 28 to 507 of the family's 1533-position model. The record is from RNAcentral.